GAAACCUUGAUAGCAGCUGAUUCAAUAGGUGAUCUCAAAGCUUCAAAAGCUGGAGUUUCUACUGUUCUUAAUGAUCUGAGACCAGCAGCAUUUGCAAGUAUCCUGAAUCCAUUGUCUGCAGUAGUAACAGCAAGCAGAUUUCCUUCCUUGUUGAAUCUCAGGCGGGGGAGACUCGGUAGUCCACCAUCAGCAUCUGUACUUGUAAGCACAUGGGCAUUAUCCAUAUCCCAAAACUUUAUCUGACUAUCUUCACCUGCAGCCAAAAAGUGGUUUUGUGUGGUGUCAAACUGCACUACACCCGUUGUUGAUUUCUUUCUAAAUCCAGCAUAAUGCCUCUUUAUUGCUCCUUCACUU
Molecule: unclassified non-coding RNA, 354 nt
Filed under: Hevea brasiliensis (rubber tree)
Lineage: Eukaryota; Viridiplantae; Streptophyta; Magnoliopsida; Malpighiales; Euphorbiaceae
Source: RNAcentral